Molecule: ribosomal RNA, 253 nt
Filed under: uncultured bacterium
Lineage: Bacteria
Description: partial 16S ribosomal RNA
Rfam family: Bacterial small subunit ribosomal RNA
Source: RNAcentral
UACGAGAGCCUCGAGCGUUAUCCGGAAUUAUUGGGCGUAAAGGGUGCGUAGGUUGUUUUGCUAGUCUUUUGUUAAAUCUCUGGGCUUAACCUGGGGACCGCGAAAGAAACGGCAAAACUUGAAAGUGCGAGAGGUGUACGGAACUCAUGGUGUAGGGGUGAAAUCCGUUGAUAUCAUGGGGAACACCAAAUGCGAAGGCAGUACACUAGCGCAUAUUUGACGCUGAAGCACGAAAGCAUGGGUAGCGAAUGGG